This 305-nucleotide ribosomal RNA is filed under the name uncultured bacterium. Its description in RNAcentral is "bacterial SSU rRNA". It matches the Rfam family "Bacterial small subunit ribosomal RNA", at positions 338 to 658 of the family's 1533-position model. The record is from RNAcentral.
CCUACGGGGGGCAGCAGUGGGGAAUAUUGGGCAAUGGGCGAAAGCCUGACCCAGCAACGCCGCGUGAAGGAAGAAGGCUUUCGGGUUGUAAACUUCUUUUGACAGGGAAGAGCAGAAGACGGUACCUGUCGAAUAAGCCACGGCUAACUACGUGCCAGCAGCCGCGGUAAUACGUAGGUGGCAAGCGUUAUCCGGAUUUACUGGGUGUAAAGGGCGUGUAGGCGGGACUGCAAGUCAGAUGUGAAAAUUAUGGGCUCAACCCAUAACCUGCAUUUGAAACUGUAGUUCUUGAGUGAUGGAGAGGG